UGUAUGUGGUGCUGAGGAUCGAACCCGGGCCGGGCCGCAAGCAUGCCAGGCGAGCGCGCUACCGCUUGAGACACAUCCCCAGCCCCAAACUGCCAAUUUGUUUUUUUUGUUUUUUUUGUUUUUUUUUUAGCGAGAGAGGUUUAAUAUUUAUUUUUUAGUUAUCGGCGAACACAUCUUUGUUUGUAUGUGGUGCUGAGGAUCGAACCCGGGCCGCACGCAUGCCAGGCGAGCGCGCUACCACUUGAGCCACAUCCCCAGCCCGCCAAUUUGUUUUUAAUGGUAUGAACUAAUAAAGCUCAUCCAGAAGAGAGAGAGAGAGAGAGAGAGAGAGAGUAGGAAUAGCCCUAUAUAUAUAUUAAAGAAUUUGGAUUUAUAAUUAAAAACCUAUCCACAAAGAAAAUUCCAGGCACAGGUAGUUUUGUUACAGAAUUCUACCAAAAACUUUGUACUCUACAUAAAUUAUUCCAGAAAACUUAAGAAGAAACACUCCCCAACAUAUUCUGUGAGGCUUGUAUUAACUUGAUAUAAUUCAUGAACAAAGAAACAAAUAUUUAAUGAAUAAAAUUAAACAAUAUAUUUUUUAAAAGAGAGAAUACAUUUUGACCAAUAAAAUGUGCAUCCCAAUAAUUCAAGACUGAUUUGACCUGUCAGAAACAGUCAGUAAGCAAGCUUGCUGUUUGUCAUAGAGGAAGGACUACUUCAUCCUUAAAGGUUGCUCCCUGCAAACACAAAACUGAGAAAUGCCCCAGAAUGAGAAUGAUCAGGGUCUUGCAUUCUUGGAAUACCUCUCAAUAUGUACAGCAGUAUAAGAGAUGUAUCCGAAAGUAUCACUCAAUUCCUAUCCAAUUCCCCUUCUCAUCCCCUUCCUUGUUGGAAUAACUUUCAGUCUCAGCUAGCAGCUACUAGCAGCUCAGAAGUGUCUGAAAUAUCCACCUUCCUUCAGGCCUGACAGGAGUGCCUGCAGGAUGGGGUGAAACCACAUCCUCAGCACUUGUGGUUAGCAUUGCCAAACUGCCUGGUGGGGAAACUGAGAGUCAGGGGUUUCAGGGCAUGAAACCUCUGACUCAGUAAGGGCCAAAGACCCUUCCAGAUUUCUUUCUGCCACGACAGCAAUAUUUAGAGUUUCCUCACAGUACGGUUACGUUAGGCAGAAGAUGAUUGGCUUAUGGAUAUUGUCUUGCUUAGGUAUGAUUGACAGGCAUGCCCCACUCAAACCCUAUAACAGUUGUGUGCAUUCCAAAAAUUAACUGAGCUACUGGAUGAUGACCUGAGGUGGGUCUCCAGCCAGUUCUCUCACCAGCUCCCAGAGUCUGUGUGUUGAAUCCGUGUCUCUACCCCCCGCAACAAGGUAGCCGAGUGACCAACAACCAUGAAGGGACUAGGAACACAUGCACUUCCUCUUUUUCUUUUUUUUUUUUUAAUAGAAACUCUCUGGGUUUGGAUAUGAGGUGUCCCUCAAAAGCUCAUGUGUGAGACAAUGCAGGAAUGUUCACAGGUGAUAAGAUUCGAUUAUGAUCACUGUAACCUGGAUUAAUAAUUUGAAUGUAUUAAUGAUCAUGAAAAUAGGUAGCUAGGGUAUGGAGGAAGUAUGUUUCUGGCAGCAUGCCCUUGGGGAUUAGGUUAUCCCUACUCACAGUCUCUCUGCUUCCUGGCUAUAAAGAAAUGAGCAUCUUUCCUCCAUCAUGCCCUUGCACCAUGGUGUUCUGACUCACCUUGGGCCCAGAUCUAUGAAGUCAGUCAACUACAGAACUGUGAGCCAAAAUAAAUUCUUCCUUCCCUAAGUUGUUCUUGUCAGGUCUGUGGGCCACAGUGAUGAAGAGCUGACUAACACCUCCUCCUUUUUACUUUUUGUUUAAAUAAUAGAUCCAAGCUGAGAGAGGUAGCACAAGCCUAUAAUUCUAGCAACUUGGGAAACUUAGACUGGAGGAUCACUUGAACUCAUAAGUUGGAUACCAGCUUGGGCAAAGGAAAAUGAUCAAAUAAAUAAACAAAUGAAUAAAUAAAUCCACAUUCAAGGAUAAAGUAUAUUAAAAAGUAAAAUCCAAGCUGAAUAUGGCAGUACAUGCCUAUAGUUUUAAUUACUUGGGAGGCUGAGGCAGGAAUCACUUGAACCCAGGAGUUCAGGGCUAGCCUGGGCAACAGAGAAGACACUGCCAAGAAGAAAAAAGAGAAGGAGAAGGAGAAAGAAAAAUGAAAAUUCUAGCUAACACUAACAAUUCAUGCUGCCCUGAUCAGUGAACAAUAGGACUUGUUAUCACCCAAUGUAUGCCUGGCUCAUGAACUCUUAUCUCUUCUCCACAGUCUAGUUUUCAACACUUAAAUAGCAUAAGCACAAACUCCUUCUUACUCUUAGUUAAAGAAUCCUGACUUUUCCCAGUGAGUAAUUUUUUUAUUUUUUAUUUUAUUUUUUUUUUUUUUGCUUUCUA
RNAcentral lists this long non-coding RNA (2426 nucleotides) under Marmota monax (woodchuck). Lineage: Eukaryota; Metazoa; Chordata; Mammalia; Rodentia; Sciuridae. The record is from RNAcentral.